GUGAUCUGUGGCAAUAAAUAAGAUUUGGCACGAGGCUAUUUCCACCUAACAUGCAUGCACAAUUGUUAGUAGACUAAUUCAAUUUACUAGAGAUGAUUUAUGAUGGGUUAAGUUAGACUAGGUCGUAUCUAGAAAAGAUAGAUGGGUAAGGUCAUAUCACUAUGGAGAAUUUUUUCUCUCUCUUCUUCGUUCUCUCUCUAGGAUCCUUCACGAAGAAUAGAUCGAGAUAAAGCUCCUUUGAUUGUCGCCGGUUCUUUUGGCGACUCUGCCUCUGGUAUAUUCGGUCAGUUCGACGAGUAUAGCCGGCUUUUGCUUCUGGUGGCUUGCGGUCUUUUCGACGGAGCUUUCCGGCUUUUGACUCCGCGUCGCGCUCUUCUCGAUGGCGACGACGGCUUUACUUCGGGGUUCUCCCGGUUCGUUGAUCGAUGCUUUCCGUUCUUCUGUGUCCAAUCGUCUCUCUUUCCUCAGCCUUGAUGUCAUCGCUUCCUCUCCUCGUCCCGAGCCGGUUCAUCUUCGCGCUUCUAUCUAUCAUUAAAUGUGACAGUUUUCUAGCAGGAAGAUCGAAGGUAGUGGGAUCGAUUGUAGCCGAUUAGUUCUUCUGGAAACAUAGAUCUGGUGUGCGGCUUGUACAACCGUGAAGAUGGUUCCUUAGUGAGCUGCUCUUCAUCGGUAAGGCUCUGCUUGACGGCGGAGUUUCGUCGAGUCUCCCCUCUUCACCGGUGGAAGGCGGUCCGCUCUCUCCUUGACGCGUGUUUCAGGACGCUGGACGUUCGUCCAUGUGGUGGGACGCCUGGAAGCCUUCCUCAACGGGUUUUCUCCUUUUGGGCUUACGGCCCAAGGAGUUUAUUAUGUUUGGGCCUGUAGUUUGGGCCUUUGUUUGUUUGUUAUGUUGGGCUUGGUCCAGUUUGUACUAUGACCCGUUUAAUAAAAUUCCAGUGGAAAAAAAAAGACUAGGUCCUAUUCCGUCUAAAACAUAAAAAGAAAAUUUUAUACUCGUAAUUUAUUAUACCACUUUUUAAUAUUUUAAAAUUUUAUAUAAUUUUUUUGUACGUUAUUUUUUUAGCAAGAAAUCUUAAUGCAUUAAAAAAUAAAGAGUUUAGAAGUUUAGAACUAGAUGGGUUGCUAGACAAGUCUUUGCAAGCCCAUUAGCCUGUCCAUUAUACAAAUGAGAAAUGAAAAAAAAAAAGACAAGAUAUGAAUGGAGAGUUUAAAGACGAAGAUAGAUUGGUAGAUAUAGAACUCCAUAGAGCUCCAUCGAUCGCCGGCGAGAAAAGAUAGCUCUGACGAGCUCUUAAGAGUCUGUGCAAAGACAUAUAUGUUGGUAGUUGAGUGAAGUCGUGUGGAGCAGUGCCUCUCUAAUGGCAAAAGCCUACCCCAUGCAAGAAGAGGAGACAAAUUGUUGGACGUAAGAUCCUCGAUUCAACUCCACAGAUGCCAGAUCAGUGAAAAUCCAAGCUAAUCCCGUCGAUUUGUGGUCGGUUCUCCAAGAGGCGUCGGUGUUGCAGUAGAUCUCAUGUUCGAUGAGGGCAUAUGGUUGUGGAGGAAAAGGAAUCAUAGGGCGUGGGGAAGAGUGAAACGAUUGGGCUGAUUCCCAUUCUUUGAGUGCUAAAAUUGCUUUAAGAAAAGUUUCAUGGGGGAUUGGGAUCGACUGUCAAAGAUGAGUUGGUUCCUUGAAUUACAUAGUGUCCAACAGAUCCAAGGGAAGGUGUUUCCAGUGAAGCCAUAUGGUGAGAGAGGAGUCAACGCUAGGGAUUCACAGAGAAUAUCAAAAAAACUCGAGGCUUGAAAGGCGUUUAACGGGGAGUUCCACGGACCUUGGCUCCACACAUCUUUGGCGAAUUGGCAAUGGAAGAGAAUGUGAGAGAUAGAUUCUUCUUCUCCGCAUCUAGGACAGUUUGUGUUGGAUAAAAUGCCUCUCAUGCGAAGGUUAUCGCCUGUUGGGAAAGCUUGGUUUCCCACUUUCCAAAGAAAGAACUUCUGUUUUGGUGAAAGGGGAGGAUUCCAAAUAAGUUGCUUCCAAUUUGUUGAGGGGCCAGAUGAAGGAGUCUCGAGCGCUUAGGACAAUUGGUCUUAGCGUCAUGAUCAUCGAGGAGAACUCAGGACCAAAAAGUUUGAUGUUAGCUUCAGGACAUAUCCAGAAAUCAGACCAAAGGGAAGUGGUCUCACCAUUACCCACUGCUUUACUCAAAUGGUUCAGUAGGAGGUCUCGGCCUAGCAGAAUACUUCUCUACCAAUGUGAGGUGGUCGUUGGAGUCUUGACUUUUAAAAAAGAGGUUUUGCUGUAGUAUUUUCCAGCAAAAUUUUAGCUAAAAGACUAUAUGGGUUCGUGAUUAGCCUCCAUGCUAUUUUUACCGUCUAAAACAUAAAAAAAAAAAUUAUACUCAUAAUUUAUUAUAUCAAUUUUUGAUAUUUUAAAAUUUUAUAUAAAUUUUUGUACCUAUAAUUAGUAUUUCUGAGUUUUAGCCCAAAAAUAAAACACAGGUUACGUA
This is a long non-coding RNA of Brassica napus (rape), 2489 nucleotides long. RefSeq lists it as uncharacterized. The record is from RefSeq and is a predicted model, not a curated record. The transcript is spliced from 3 exons. Lineage: Eukaryota; Viridiplantae; Streptophyta; Magnoliopsida; Brassicales; Brassicaceae.